This 469-nucleotide ribosomal RNA is filed under the name uncultured bacterium. RNAcentral describes it as "partial 16S ribosomal RNA". It matches the Rfam family "Bacterial small subunit ribosomal RNA", at positions 28 to 507 of the family's 1533-position model. The record is from RNAcentral.
GACGAACGCUGGCGGCGUGCUUAACACAUGCAAGUCGAACGGAAAGGCCCUGCUUGCAGGGUGCUCGAGUGGCGAACGGGUGAGUAACACGUGGGUGAUCUGCCCCUUACUUUGGGAUAAGCCUGGGAAACUGGGUCUAAUACUGGAUAGGACCAUGCUGUAGGUGGUGUGGUGGAAAGAUUAGUUUCGGUAAGGGAUGAGCUCGCGGCCUAUCAGUUUGUUGGUGGGGUAAUGGCCUACCAAGGCGUCGACGGGUAGCCGGCCUGAGAGGGUGGACGGCCACAUGGGGACUGAGAGACGGCCCAGACUCCUACGGGAGGCAGCAGUGGGGAAUAUUGCACAAUGGGCGCAAGCCUGAUGCAGCGACGCCGCGUGGGGGAUGACGGCCUUCGGGUUGUAAACUCCUUUCAGCCAUGACGAAGCCCUUGUGGUGACGGUAGUGGUAGAAGAAGCACCGGCUAACUACGUG